This 492-nucleotide ribosomal RNA is filed under the name uncultured bacterium. RNAcentral describes it as "partial 16S ribosomal RNA". It matches the Rfam family "Bacterial small subunit ribosomal RNA", at positions 29 to 507 of the family's 1533-position model. The record is from RNAcentral.
AGUGAACGCUGGCGGUAGGCCUAACACAUGCAAGUCGAACGGCAGCACAGUAAGAGCUUGCUCUUACGGGUGGCGAGUGGCGGACGGGUGAGGAAUACAUCGGAAUCUACUUUUUCGUUGGUGAUAACGUAGGGAAACUUACGCUAAUACCGCAUACGACCUACGGGUGAAAGCAGGGGAUCUUCGGACCUUGCGCGAUUGUAUGAGCCGAUGUCGGAUUAGCUAGUUGGCGGGGUAAAGGCCCACCAAUGCGACGAUCCGUAGCUGGUCUGAGAGGAUGAUCAGCCACACUGGAACUGAGACACGGUCCAGACUCCUACGGGAGGCAGCAGUGGGGAAUAUUGGACAAUGGGCGCAAGCCUGAUCCAGCAAUACCGCGUGGGUGAAGAAGGCCUUCGGGUUGUAAAGCCCUUUUGUUGGGAAAGAAAAGCAGCAGGUUAAUACCCCGCUGUUCUGACGGUACCCAAAGAAUAAGCACCGGCUAACUUCGUG